GGGUUACUAGGGCGGGGUCGACUGACUGGGCUUCCUUUAUUCUUUGGAUUAACUCGGGUUGGACUGCUAGGUGGCCCAU
RNAcentral lists this microRNA precursor (79 nucleotides) under Carica papaya (papaya). Its description in RNAcentral is "miR8152 stem-loop (cpa-MIR8152)". The record is from miRBase by way of RNAcentral. Lineage: Eukaryota; Viridiplantae; Streptophyta; Magnoliopsida; Brassicales; Caricaceae.